GUAGUCCCACUUACUCAGGAGUCUGAGAUAGGAGAAUCUCUUGAACCUGGGAGGAAGAGGUUGCAGUGAGCCGAGAUCACACCACUGCACUCCAGCCUGGGUGACAGAGUGAGACUCUGUCUCAAAAAAAAAAAAAACAAAAGAAAUUUGCAGAUAAUAUCUUGGACCAGAUUUCCCUGAGAGAAGGAGGGUAAAGGGCCUGGAAAACUAUAUAAGAAAUGUGUUCACUUAGAACCACCCAGCACUUUGGAGGCCAAGGCGGGCUGAUCACGAGGUCAGGAGUUCGAGACCAGCCUGGCCCACAUGGUGAAACCCACCUCCACUAAAAAUACAAAAAUUAGCCAGGCGUGGUAACCUGCGC
This 361-nucleotide long non-coding RNA is filed under the name Homo sapiens (human). RNAcentral describes it as "non-protein coding lnc-RDX-4:1". Lineage: Eukaryota; Metazoa; Chordata; Mammalia; Primates; Hominidae. The record is from RNAcentral.